AUGAGAGCUCAAGCAAAAAUAAAACACUAUGCAGAUGCAUGCAAAUCGGAAAGAUCAUUUCCAGUGGGUGACUAUGUGUAUCUGAAGCUCCAGCCAUAUGCUCAACAUUCUAUGGUCAACAGGCCGUGUCCUAAGCUGGCAUAUAAGUACUAUGGGCCAUUUAAGGUCUUGGAAUGCAUUGGACCAGCAGCGUACAAGUUAUUGUUGCCUGAGGGUGCACAAAUCCACCCAGUGUUCCAUGUAUCUCAGCUAAAGGAACACAAACCUGAUCAUACUCCAGUGUUUUCUGAACUCCCAACUCAAGUGGAUCUAUCUGCAGGUAAUUUGGUUCCUGUGCAAGUCCUCGAACGGAAGAUGGUGAAGAAAGGCAAUGCCGCGCACGUGCAAAUCCGGGUCCAGUGGGCGGGUCUUCCGGAAGCAGCAGCUACGUGGGAAGAUUAUGAAGUCCUGAAGAAACGCUAUCCGGCGGCACCAGCAUGGGGGCAUGCUGGAUUUCCAGCGGACGACACUGUAAGCGACCAAGAGCAUAUGGGUGGCAAAGCAAGGGAGUAA
This 552-nucleotide ribosomal RNA is filed under the name Triticum aestivum (bread wheat). Its description in RNAcentral is "partial small subunit ribosomal RNA". The record is from RNAcentral. Lineage: Eukaryota; Viridiplantae; Streptophyta; Magnoliopsida; Poales; Poaceae.